RNAcentral lists this ribosomal RNA (496 nucleotides) under uncultured bacterium. RNAcentral's name for it is "bacterial SSU rRNA". It matches the Rfam family "Bacterial small subunit ribosomal RNA", at positions 535 to 1032 of the family's 1533-position model. The record is from RNAcentral.
CGAGCGUUAAUCGGAAUUACUGGGCGUAAAGCGGGCGCAGACGGUUACUUAAGCAGGAUGUGAAAUCCCCGGGCUCAACCUGGGAACUGUGUUCUGAACUGGGUGACUAGAGUGUGUCAGAGGGAGGUAGAAUUCCACGUGUAGCAGUGAAAUGCGUAGAGAUGUGGAGGAAUACCGAUGGCGAAGGCAGCCUCCUGGGAUAACACUGACGUUCAUGCUCGAAAGCGUGGGUAGCAAACAGGAUUAGAUACCCUGGUAGUCCACGCCCUAAACGAUGUCAAUUAGCUGUUGGGCAACUUGAUUGCUUAGUAGCGUAGCUAACGCGUGAAAUUGACCGCCUGGGGAGUACGGUCGCAAGAUUAAAACUCAAAGGAAUUGACGGGGACCCGCACAAGCGGUGGAUGAUGUGGAUUAAUUCGAUGCAACGCGAAGAACCUUACCUGGUCUUGAUAUCCCUCUGACCGCUCUAGAGAUAGAGCUUUCUUCGGGACAGAGG